This 301-nucleotide ribosomal RNA is filed under the name uncultured bacterium. Its description in RNAcentral is "partial 16S ribosomal RNA". It matches the Rfam family "Bacterial small subunit ribosomal RNA", at positions 509 to 809 of the family's 1533-position model. The record is from RNAcentral.
CAGCAGCCGCGGUAAUACGGAGGGUGCAAGCGUUAAUCGGAAUUACUGGGCGUAAAGCGUGCGUAGGCGGUUCGUUAAGUCUGUUGUGAAAGCCCCGGGCUCAACCUGGGAAUGGCAAUGGAUACUGGCGAGCUAGAGUGUGUCAGAGGAUGGUGGAAUUCCCGGUGUAGCGGUGAAAUGCGUAGAGAUCGGGAGGAACAUCAGUGGCGAAGGCGGCCAUCUGGGACAACACUGACGCUGAGGCACGAAAGCGUGGGGAGCAAACAGGAUAAGAGACCCGUGUAGUCCCUGUCUCUUAUAU